UUCGGUUUGACACCGGCAGUCUCGCUAGAGUACUCGGCAUGACCCGUUAGCAACUAACGAUAGGGGUUGCGCUCGUUAAGGGACUUAACCCGACACUUCACAGCACGAGCUGACGACAGCCAUGCAGCACCUGUGACCGUUCCACCCGAAGGCGUCAUUCCUGUUUCCAGGAACUAAUCCGGCCAUGUCAAACCCAGGUAAGGUUCUUCGCGUUGCCUCGAAUUAAGCAACAUGCUCCACCGCUUGUGUGAGCCCCCGUCAAUUCCUUUGAGUUUCAGCCUUGCGGCCGUACUCCCCAGGCGGGGCACUUAAUGCGUUAGCGCCGGCACCCAGGGGGUCGCUCCCUGACGGCUAGCAUCCAUCGUUUACGGCGUGGACUAC
RNAcentral lists this unclassified non-coding RNA (381 nucleotides) under uncultured Phycisphaeraceae bacterium. RNAcentral describes it as "contains 16S-23S intergenic spacer region". The record is from RNAcentral. Lineage: Bacteria; Pseudomonadati; Planctomycetota; Phycisphaerae; Phycisphaerales; Phycisphaeraceae.